This 693-nucleotide ribosomal RNA is filed under the name uncultured Pelagibacterales bacterium. Its description in RNAcentral is "bacterial SSU rRNA". It matches the Rfam family "Bacterial small subunit ribosomal RNA", at positions 139 to 868 of the family's 1533-position model. The record is from RNAcentral. Lineage: Bacteria; Pseudomonadati; Pseudomonadota; Alphaproteobacteria; Candidatus Pelagibacterales.
UGGAAUAACACGAGGAAACUUGUGCUAAUACCGGAUAAGUCUUUACGGAGAAAGCUUUAUGCACCAUUGGAUGAGCCUGCACUUGAUUAGUUUGUUGGUGGGGUAAUGGCCUACCAAGACUGUGAUCAAUAGCUGAUUUGAGAGGAUGAUCAGCCACAUUGGGACUGAGACACGGCCCAAACUCCUACGGGAGGCAGCAGUGGGGAAUCUUGCACAAUGGAGGAAACUCUGAUGCAGCGAUGCCGCGUGAGUGAAGAAGGCCCUUGGGUUGUAAAGCUCUUUCGUCGGGGAAGAAAAUGACUGUACCCGAAUAAGAAGGUCCGGCUAACUUCGUGCCAGCAGCCGCGGUAAUACGAAGGGACCUAGCGUAGUUCGGAAUUACUGGGCUUAAAGAGUUCGUAGGUGGUUGAAAAAGUUGGUGGUGAAAUCCCAGAGCUUAACUCUGGAACUGCCAUCAAAACUUUUCAGCUAGAGUAUGAUAGAGGAAAGCAGAAUUUCUAGUGUAGAGGUGAAAUUCGUAGAUAUUAGAAAGAAUACCAAUUGCGAAGGCAGCUUUCUGGAUCAUUACUGACACUGAGGAACGAAAGCAUGGGUAGCGAAGAGGAUUAGAUACCCUCGUAGUCCAUGCCGUAAACGAUGUGUGUUAGACGUUGGAAAUUUAUUUUCAGUGUCGCAGCGAAAGCGAUAAACACA